CUUCAGGGCAGGGCGCAAUUCCCGACCGGCGGUAAACCCCGCGAGCCGUAAGGCUGAACCGGUGCAAUUCCGGUGGCGACAGUACAGUCUGGAUGGAAGAAGGUU
RNAcentral lists this non-coding RNA (105 nucleotides) under uncultured Holdemania sp. Its description in RNAcentral is "FMN riboswitch (RFN element)". It matches the Rfam family "FMN riboswitch aptamer (RFN element)". From Rfam's summary of the family: The RFN element is a highly conserved domain that is found frequently in the 5'-untranslated regions of prokaryotic mRNAs that encode for flavin mononucleotide (FMN) biosynthesis and transport proteins. This element is a metabolite-dependent riboswitch that directly binds FMN in the absence of proteins. Lineage: Bacteria; Bacillati; Bacillota; Erysipelotrichia; Erysipelotrichales; Erysipelotrichaceae. The record is from RNAcentral.